GAUGAAGAACGUAGCGAAAUGCGAUAAGUAAUGUGAAUUGCAGAAUUCAGUGAAUCAUCGAAUCUUUGAACGCACAUUGCGCCCCUUGGUAUUCCGAGGGGCAUGCCUGUUCGAGCGUCAUUAUAACCCCUCAAGCUCAGCUUGGUGUUGGGGCCUGCUGCACUGGCAGCCCUUAAAAUCAGUGGCGGCGCCAUCUGGCUCUAAGCGUAGUAAUUCUUCUCGCUAUGGAGUCCUGGUGGAUGCUUGCCAUCAACCCCCAAUUUUUCUAUGGUUGACCUCGGAUCAGGUAGGGAUACCCGCUGAACUUAUGCAUAUCAAUAGGCGGAGGA
RNAcentral lists this unclassified non-coding RNA (329 nucleotides) under soil metagenome. RNAcentral's name for it is "partial contains 5.8S ribosomal RNA, internal transcribed spacer 2, and large subunit ribosomal RNA". The stretch from base 1 to 120 matches the Rfam family "5.8S ribosomal RNA", at positions 35 to 154 of the family's 154-position model. The record is from RNAcentral.